Molecule: ribosomal RNA, 1025 nt
Filed under: Gliomastix murorum
Lineage: Eukaryota; Fungi; Ascomycota; Sordariomycetes; Hypocreales; Bionectriaceae
Description: SSU rRNA
Rfam family: Eukaryotic small subunit ribosomal RNA
Source: RNAcentral
AGCAUUAUACNGCGAAACUGCGAAUGGCUCAUUAUAUAAGUUAUCGUUUAUUUGAUAGUGCCUGUCCUACUUGGAUAACCGUGGUAAUUCUAGAGCUAAUACAUGCUAAAAAUCCCGACUUCGGAAGGGAUGUAUUUAUUAGAUUAAAAGCCAAUGCCCUUCGGGGCUCCCUGGUGAUUCAUAAUAACUUCACGGAUCGCACGGCCUUGCGCCGGCGAUGGUUCAUUCAAAUUUCUUCCCUAUCAACUUUCGAUGUUUGGGUAUUGGCCAAACAUGGUGGCAACGGGUAACGGAGGGUUAGGGCUCGACCCCGGAGAAGGAGCCUGAGAAACGGCUACUACAUCCAAGGAAGGCAGCAGGCGCGCAAAUUACCCAAUCCCAAUUCGGGGAGGUAGUGACAAUAAAUACUGAUACAGGGCUCUUUUGGGUCCUGUAAUUGGAAUGAGUACAAUUUAAAUCCCUUAACGAGGAACAAUUGGAGGGCAAGUCUGGUGCCAGCAGCCGCGGUAAUUCCAGCUCCAAUAGCGUAUAUUAAAGUUGUUGUGGUUAAAAAGCUCGUAGUUGAACCUUGGGCCUGGCUGGCCGGUCCGCCUCACCGCGUGCACUGGUCCGGCCGGGCCUUUCCCUCUGUGGAACUCCAUGCCCUUCACUGGGUGUGGCAGGGAAACAGGACUUUUACUUUGAAAAAANUANAGUGCUCCNGGCANGCCUUUGCUCNAAUACAUUAGCAUGGAAUAAUAAAAUAGGACGUGCGGUUCUAUUUUGUUGGUUUCUAGGACCGCCGUAAUGAUUAAUAGGGACAGUUGGGGGCAUCAGUAUUCCGCAGUUAGAGGUGAAAUUCUUGGAUCUGCGGAAGACUAACUGCUGCGAAAGCGUUUGUCAAAGAUGUUUUCAUUAAUCAGGAACGAAAGUCAGGGGAUCGAAGACGAUCAGAUACCGUCGUAGUCUUGACCAUAAACUAUGCCGACUAGGGAUCGGGCGAUGUUAUAUUUUGACUCGCUCGGCACCUUACGAGAAAUCAAAGU